AUUGAACGCUGGCGGCAGGCCUAACACAUGCAAGUCGAGCGGAUGAAGGGAGCUUGCUCCUGGAUUCAGCGUCGGACGGGUGAGUAAUGCCUAGGAAUCUGCCUGGUAGGGGGGGAUAACGUCCGGAAACGGGCGCUAAUACCGCAUACGUCCUGAGGGAGAAAGUGGGGGAUCUUCGGACCUCACGCUAUCAGAUGAGCCUAGGUCGGAUUAGCUAGUUGGUGGGGUAAAGGCCUACCAAGGCGACGAUCCGUAACUGGUCUGAGAGGAUGAUCAGUCACACUGGAACUGAGACACGGUCCAGACUCCUACGGGAGGCAGCAGUGGGGAAUAUUGGACAAUGGGCGAAAGCCUGAUCCAGCCAUGCCGCGUGUGUGAAGAAGGUCUUCGGAUUGUAAAGCACUUUAAGUUGGGAGGAAGGGCAGUAAGUUAAUACGUUGCUGUUUUGACGUUACCGACAGAAUAAGCACCGGCUAACUUCGUG
Molecule: ribosomal RNA, 484 nt
Filed under: uncultured bacterium
Lineage: Bacteria
Description: partial 16S ribosomal RNA
Rfam family: Bacterial small subunit ribosomal RNA
Source: RNAcentral